Molecule: non-coding RNA, 1154 nt
Organism: Arachis ipaensis
Lineage: Eukaryota; Viridiplantae; Streptophyta; Magnoliopsida; Fabales; Fabaceae
Source: RefSeq, a predicted model, not a curated record
CCGCAAUGGAUCCAUUACAAAGAUUCUUCUUCUUCUAGGGCACGUAGCUACGCACACCCCACAUAGCACGCACUUGACGGCGUCGCACCCUUCCCCUCAUAGCUCACGAACGGCGUCGCCACCCUUCCCCUCUCAGCUCUAUCUCGGUCUUUCACCAACGGCCGUCACCCUUGCCCUCUCAGCCCUCUCUCUGUCUCUCACCAGCCACCUCCAUGGCUUCCGUCACCACUCAUCAACCUCAGAGUCACGACGUGCUGCACUGCUUCUCGCCUCUCAGUGACGACGACCCUCAGCGACGAGGACUGCGAAGUGUGAUGACACUUCUCUGACCCUCAAUGACGACGACUGCUUCUCCCCUCUCGGUCAUGAUGGUGCUGCCCCGGUCGUCCUCUUCUUCUCUUUUCUGACCUCUGCUCAAACUCAGGGAUUUCUCCAAAGAUCGGGAUUUUGGUAGGGAAGCGAGCAGUAUUGGGGAUGUUCCUAUGAAAUAAAAAAUUAGACCCUCAUCUCUGAUCUCCACUCUUAUUCCUUUUGAAGUGUAGUUGCUGCCAUCUCUUUCCAUUCCUUGCAUUUCUCAGCUGGGUUUCCAUCUUUACGCACUUUCUUCUUGCUUCUCUUUAAAUAGUCUUGUUCCUCUUGAAAAGGCUGACAGUCAUGUAGAUCCCCUCUCGGGUGCCCAACACCAUCCAUAGUGGCUGAAGGUUGCAAAUGACGGUCUAUAGCACAUAAAAUUUCUAAGGUUAAAGAUGCUAUUUCAAUAGCAAAUAAUGCAUGCUGGUCUAUUGGAGAACUUGUAGUUAAGAUUCAAGAAAGAAGAUCAAGAAAAGUUCUGACAUUUAUCCCCUAAUGUGAGAGUUGAAUAGAUUCAAGAAAAGAAGAUCAAGAGAAGUUCUGACAUGAAUGUUGACCAUUUGAAAGCAGUGGGAAAUGGCUAUAGUUCAAGUAAUUCCAGUAGCUCCAUUCCUUACCUUGCAAAUGGAGCAUACCUUCACUAAAAUUACCUGCAGUAGUUGUACUUUGGCCUUUCAGUUGAUUUUUUCCUCCUCACAUUUCUUUCUUGAGGGUAAAACUUUAAUGUGACGUUUCUUCAUGAACAAGAAUUUGAUGUAUUAAGUAUUAACUGGAAAUAAGAGACAAAGCUAUACAAGGUUUAC